UCCGGUUUGUCACCGGCAGUCCCAUUAGAGUGCUCAACUGAAUGUAGCAACUAAUGGCAAGGGUUGCGCUCGUUGCGGGACUUAACCCAACAUCUCACGACACGAGCUGACGACAGCCAUGCAGCACCUGUGUUACGGCUCCCUUUCGGGCACGUCUCCACCUCUAAGCGGACUUCCUGACAUGUCAAGGGUAGGUAAGGUUUUUCGCGUUGCAUCGAAUUAAUCCACAUCAUCCACCGCUUGUGCGGGUCCCCGUCAAUUCCUUUGAGUUUUAAUCUUGCGACCGUACUCCCCAGGCGGUCGACUUCACGCGUUAGCUGCGGUACUAAGGAAGUCUCCUUCCCCAACACCUAGUCGACAUCGUUUAGGGCGUGGACUAC
This 380-nucleotide unclassified non-coding RNA is filed under the name uncultured Gammaproteobacteria bacterium. RNAcentral's name for it is "contains 16S-23S intergenic spacer region". Lineage: Bacteria; Pseudomonadati; Pseudomonadota; Gammaproteobacteria. The record is from RNAcentral.